CGACGAUAUAUAUAUAUUUCUGUCACCCGAUUCUCAUCACUAACAUAUUCUUGAAACUGGAAGGAAUUUCUCACUCAAGAAACUUCACUUCACACCAGGAUGUGAUACCCAGUGACAAUGACGCAACACUUUUUAUGUUUUAGCCUUUUUCGUUGUUGACAAAAGUUUAAGAAUUUGUAAUGUUUCACGCAAAAUCCAUUUCCCUGACAUAAAGCAAUUCAUGUACUUAAAUAUGUCACGAUGCAAGUUGUAUCAUAAUUAUGAGAAAACUCGCCUUUCCUGUCUCCACACUUUUUAACAUCCCAAGCACAAUAUACAUUCCUCAAUAGCUUAUUCACAUUCGACUAUACCUGGACAGUACUACAUCUUGCCUCAAGAGAAUCCAUACCACUUUAUUCGCAAGGAAAAUAUUCCGCCUUUCUAAGUCGACUAUGACGGCUUUCUCACACUCGCAACGACACUACCUCAAGCUCUUGCAACUUGUAGGUGACGACAGUAGACCAAAUUUGACACACUCAUUUUACAGUAACAAAUUGACCUUCUUUACAAUGGUUCCUCGUGCUCAAGAUCACUUCAGUAACCAAGGAUUGUCUUCCGAGACGAAAAGAGUUAAUAAUGGAAAAAGAAGGCAGGUACACCACUAGACCUAGGCAGAAGGGUUAGGCCUACAGCUUUGUGGUAAAGAUUGAGCAGUAUGGAAAGCGGAGACGGAACAUUAGUUGUGGUUCUGCACGUUCCUUGGCUCCCCGGCGACGUAACGAAAAUCGUAAAACAGCUCUAAAGGGGAUUGCGUCACCAUUAGCUAAGAUUCGUCUACCUGGACUAAUGACUUACGAUUGUAAGGACCGAGUGGCGACAUAGUGGCCGCCUUCCCAAAACGCAGCCACCUUCCCGUAAAAGUACUUGGAAUUCGCUGCCAUGAGCAUCAGUCAAGAGUUGUGGCCCAUCCAGGCAGCACACCGUGGCAUCUACACUCCUCUUGAACUGUGGUAAUUCCUGUGACAGCACAUUGAUUGUGGGAGCAUGGAGUCCAACAGUCUACACACAUGGAUUUGUUUUAUUGACAGAAUGUAACGCUGUUUCAGAGUUAUUUGAAUAUCAAAUUAUACUGUUCAUCCCAGUGAUCAGCAGCCUUCAAGUUAAUGCAAGAUUUCAAAUGGACACAUUUGAUUGAAGAUUUUACAUUUUGAAGACACUGCUUGUAUGACCACAAACAUGCACACACAAGUGGUACCAUGUACCUGAAGAGAUUGGAUUCAGUCACACUACAAGACUCACUAUACUAUUUUUAUUUGUCUUGAAAAAGAAUUGCAUAUAAAAGGAGGUAAAAUUGUCGAAGUUAGAUGUCUGGCUUCUAUAACUGAUGAGUAUGACACUGAUUAGGCGUCCAUCAUAUAAGAUUUAUUCUACUCUUCUGGCUUACAAACAUAUAUGGUACACAGCAGAUCAUUAUAAAAAUAUUGUUUCUUAGUAACAGGAAUAGUAGCAUUUCAGUACAUUACACCCCUCCAUGCCUUAAGAAAGAACUUACAAAUAGUUCAGCAAAAGUAUAAAAUAAUACAGUAAUCUAUCUGGCAAACAUAAACAAGCAUUUGUAUUUAUGCAAUAAAAAAUCAAGGCGUUGGACAGGUUUACAUAUACGACUUGAAUGUCUCACUACAGGUGUGUUCUCAGGGCUAACUCGUCAGUUACUUCACUAAUAUUUUCAGAAUCUUGCACAUUAGUUCCACUAUUUUCAUUCAGUUGAAAAUUGGAUUCAGAGUUAGGUAAGGUUUGAGAUCAUUCAAGACCUUCACUAGCAUCCUUUAAAUUAGCAUUACCUUCAAUUUCACAAGAGGUUUUACUUGUUUAAACAUUUGAUGAAAAUGUCUAUGUACAACAUCUCCAUCACUACUAACAGUUUUACAUGAAAUGGGACCAGUAGACUCAUAUUUCAAUACAUCACAAAUUCCGUUUGAAUGCUUUCUUGAGAUAUAAUGACUUCUAUUUCUCACAUGAUUCUUCUUAUGUAGUUGUAAAUUUUUGUAAGAUUUUUAAACCUUUCUUCCACCAUCUGUGUUUAGUACACAAUGUUAGAAUAGGAAGUAAUGAGUUAACCUUCGCGUAUAUGUUUUUCUCAUUCCUCUGGUCCCAUCUGCUUCUCUGUAAUGUUAUCAGUUAUGCCAGUUAUACACAGGGAAAUCUAUCCCGCUUGUAAUGGCCUUUCAGGCUUAUUGUUGCAUGUAAUUUUUGCUCAUUUUGAGUAGGCAUUUAUCUCUAUAUCUUGUUUAGUUCCUUAACGAUUGAUUCUUUUGCUGUGAUAUUUACAUUGAAGGAUUUGCUUAUUUACAUUUCUUUGCAGUUAUGUUAUUACAGACAUAUUCUCUGUUUGACUCCAUAUCUGCCACAUCAUCAUCCUCUCUAGCCACCUGCCUCUUGGCUUCCCUCCUCUUCUCCUCAUAGGCCUUGCUAUUCUCUCUGCCAAUUAUUUAUCAGAAUUUGAAGUUUCUUUGUCCCUCAGAACCUUUGACAGAGUAUGCAUAAAAUUGCCCAGGUAAUCGAUUCUUAGUGUCUUGCUGGUUCUAGACGUACCUACUGUCAACAGGAAAUGAUUCCGAUCUAUGACCGCUUUGUUCACGGUCACAUUGCAGCUUGCAUGGCCCAUUGUACUAAAGAAUUUGUUUGGUGUUCGUUUGACCCCAACUGUACUACUUAGUGCAUUUUACUUUUCAGCUUGGCAUUGUUCAAUUUUCAGCUGUCUCUUUUUGCUGUUCAUUGUUUUUUUGUUUUUCCAUUCACAAGGGUUGCUAAGCGUUAUCAUUCCUAAGGUAGAUAAAUAUGCUUCAUGUGUUGUGUGUUGUCCUUCAGUUCCCCAGUGAAGAAACUUCCUCUAAUUUUUAAAAGAAUGUUAAAUAGUAGCAUAUUAUUGUUGAGUAGAAAGUGUGAGAUACUUUUCCCUUUCUGUUGUGAAAUUUGUUCAGAACCCUCAGCAUUUUUAAAUUACCUUGUUAUACAUUUUUAAAAGAACUGCAAUUUAUUAGAUAGCAUUUGAAUUUUGCUGUUAAAAACACUAUUUAGGUCAGUCCAUAUAUAGUAAAAAAGGUUAUAAUAUUUUGGUCACUUAUCCUCAGGCAAUUCCUGAAAGGGUCCAAUGGUGUGAAAUUUUAGGCUCGUUAAGUGACAAUAGUAUAAGUGUAAAGGAGUCUUAUAUAUUUUUGCAAUGAAAGUCUUUUUACAAUAAUUUUUCAGUAAGAGUAUUUUUCAUAGUUAUUUACAUGUAAUGUUACAUUGCUUUGAAUAUUUUUAUAUUUUUAUUAUUAGCUAAAGGCACAAUUUAUAUCAUUGGUAUAGUAUUUUUUCAUUAUUUGAUUGCAAUCAAAUGCAAUGACUACUGCCCCAACUCUUGUUUAUGCUGUGAAGAUGAAGAAAAACUAGAGUACCGUAUGUAUAUGUUUCACUUUGUUAGACUCCUGAGGACAUUUUAUUUCUUCAGCUGGAACAAAUCUAAGUAUGUAUUCAUAAGUGGUAAUUUAUUAAUUAUUGUUUUUAGAAGUAUUUUGUGUGAGAUUUAAAGAUAUUUCUUUGAGGGGCAGAAAAUUUAAAGUCUUUCACUUAAAACUUCUUUCAUUUAAUGUGUGUUCUUUGUUUAGUAUUUACUUUUGUCUAUUGACUUAGCCUUAUUUGUGUGACUUUCUAGACUACAGUAAUCCACUUACGAAAGACAAAGGAAAACACUGGAUUGGUGACUGCUCUGCAGUUUUAACUGGAAUACAAGUCAGUAGUUGGGUAUGGGUCUUUAUGAUCCCAGAUGUUGCAGAUACCAGGUAUUUUCAUGGCUAACUUCCAAUUUCACCUAUAUGAACACAUUUCCCACAUAUCUUUCUUUUUUCAACCCAUUUUUUAAUAGACCGAUUUAUACGUACCUCUUUUCUUUUAGUGAGAAUCAUUUCAGUUUUGGUCUUUUUAUUUUUUCUUUUAUUUUUGGUAUAAAUUCUGCAUUUCAGCACGUUACAGCUUUUAUUGCUGCUCAUUCUGAUCAAUUAAGAAAGUAAAAAAAAAAUCCUCUCGGUUCAUUUUCAACUUGUGUUUUUCAUUGGGUAUUCUCUGAGUUGCACUACCCUUAGAGAUGCUCCAUUCAGCUUCAGUUACUUUGGCUCGGUAAUUACAAUGGAGUAAGUUUCAGUGUCAGUAAUCUGCUUUGUCUUGAUCUUUUUUGCAACUUGCCAUUUUGCAAGACAUACUAUUUCUAAUUUUCAAUCUGUCACACUUCUCAGAAGUUUUGUGAUUGUUUUGGAAGAAGUGCCAUCUAGCUCGUGACCCUGUUUGCCUUUGAAAUUUUUAGUUUCCUUUGUACCUCACUAUCCAAGAAGCUCCCUUUUUGGUCUUUGCUGGGUCCUUUCCACUGGUUGGCAUUCCAGCAGCUCGGUACCCUUCUGCUUAGGUUAGAAUAAUAGGUUUGCAAAUAACAAGUGACUAUUCAUUCACAAACCCAUUCCUUGUAAGUAAAUUCCCCUUCUUAUUCCCUAGCUCUUUUUCACCUUUAUCUACAGUGAAUAAUUUUCUUAACCAUCUGUGGUAUUAAAACUUAAUAAAUUGUUGCACUGUUUUGCAGUUCUAUAUUGCAAAAAGAAUGCCUCACUCAUGUGACUCAUGGGAGUUUGAUGAAUAAUAAUCCACUUGACCACCCAAUCCCUGAAGGCAGAUAUCUUCAGUGAUUGUCAACUUACAGGACCAAGUUGCUGCCCUUUUGUCUUCUGUGGAUCUGAUCUAUCAUACUUAGUAUGAUAAAUCGCAGGGCUUUUGUAGCCUCGCACAGGACCUCUUUCUCUCCUUAUGCUGUCAUACUUGUGCAUCCCAUGCUGUUUUUUCUUUCUGUUUUAGUAGUUCUCUCAUUCGGAGUAAAAUUAAGCCAUGCUGAAGCCAUAGAUGACUUCUAGAAAUGGUACGUUUUUAAAGUUUAAAAAUUACACAAUUACUCCAUAGGAGUGAAUAAAGUUUAAUCAAACACUAUCAUAGUGAGAGAGAGAGAGAGAGGGUACUUUAGAUUUAACGAAUAUAAGUGAAAAAAGGUCCUACUUAAGUAUAUGAUUUCGAGUAUGUAAAAAUGGGCUAAAAAUACCUCUUGAAACUUACUGGGAAGAAAUUGGCCAUUUGAUUAAAGAAAGGAAAGGCUGCUGUAAAGGUACUAUACAAUGAAGCAAUCAAUGAACUGUUCCUGUAGGGUGGCUUGAAUGAAUGACAUCAUGAGUUUAACAAAUAAUAGUAUUCACAAAAUUUAUUGUCCGAAAUGUGACGUAAUAGGUUUGAUGGAAGGAUUCUUGUAUAAGAGAGCUGUAGAAUAUGAAAGAAAUAAAAGUACAAAGUAACUGGAUAGUAUUUUAUUUAAAUCCAAAAAAUUAUUUCAAAGGGGGGUUUACUCAAAAAAAUAAGCUGUUAAAUUUUUUUUUCAACUUUUAGAGCCAGCAUUGCAAUGCCCCCAGCAGAUCGAAGGUAUACAGCCAGUUGGUUACCAACUCUGAAGCCAACCCAAGGCCAAGUUUUCUAAGCUGACAACGUACUGGCCAAGAUGGGAAAAGCCUCAUUUACCUCCCUUGCGCUUUCCCAGAUGCAUUUGUCCAUGGCACUAACGAGGAAAGAUAUCCAGACCCUUUUAAAUGUCAAAGAGAACUACUAAGUACAGGAGGUUCAAGAUGGGAAGGUCAAGUUACCAUAGACAAGCCUUAGCUCACGUUCGCUCUUAAUGCUGUGGUUUCAUACUUGAGCAAGUGCGUGGAGACGUAAGUAUCCAGUGAAACAUGACUUGAAAACCCGUAGACUUGUACCGCCAGAAUUUCGUUUCUAAGCAGAAUGUCCCUAAAAAUCCCUAGUCCAAGCUAGAAUGAUACCUACGGGGUGUAAACACUCAUUCCGACUUUCUGCUUUCCGUUUGCAUUGAGCUUUCGAAAGACUUUUGUCACAACUUCUUUUUUAGAAAACGAGUCUUAGUUAACCUUCAUAGAAAACCGAACAGGAACAGUAACUUACGCCCAUGACCCCGAGAUAAAUAUAACUAACUUAACAGCCACCUGACACUGGUUUUCAGAUACCUUUGUCUGCCUACUUUUUCAAAGUAUAAAUCUGAUUAUGCAGUGUGGAUAAUUAUAAUGUGAAAAACCAAGUUCCAGUAUUAGAGGGUCAUUUUUGACCAGAGAAAUCAUUGAAAGAUUUCAGUUUGACAGAACUCGUAAAAUGGGCAGUGUUGCAGAAAUUACAGACAGUAACUAACUUUGAUUAAUUAGGUAUGAGAUUUUUCACAGCACUUUUGGCUGAUUAGUUUCUAUUCCUCGUCAAAAUUACUUUUUGCUGCACUCUCGUGUUUUGAGCUACAUCGCUUAAAUUAUAUUUUAGAUUACGAAAACAGUUAUAAUUUAAAUUAUUUUAAUUAGACGAGCGUUACAUGCGCCAGAAGUUUAAGCUAUAUAGAGCUAAAUUUGUUAACUUGAAAUUCAAUUAAUUAAAUCAUAUACUUUGGUGCUAUUUUCAGUUUACAUCAUCAUAUUUUCGUCUACAUGACGUAUUCGCAAAGUAUGUAAUAUUCAUUUAUAAUCUCAGAUGUCUUUCUGAACAGGAAUUUCACAAAUAAACCAAACUGAAGCUAACUUAAUUUUAUUUCAAAUUACAAGUCAUCCUCGAGUCUUUUCCUAUAACAAAAGCAAUUAAUUACACCAAGAUGAAGACACAUACAGUCCCCACAAAAGCAGACAAGUGACCCAAACCCCUUCAGGUGGAACAAGUGUGCCUUGAGGUACUCCCCCCCUCCCAAACAAACCACCAAUUCGUCUUAUAGGCCUAAUGGCACCAUUCAAUGUAAGUGAUUGAGUCAGGUAAAUGGUCAGAGACGUGCAAGCUAGGUCCUCCUGCCCCAUUCUUCCAACCCCAGACAGGACAGCAACGUCGCCUUCACUCUACACGUGGACCACCGGGCCAGUGUAGGUUCUAUGAUACUUACAAAAAUCCACUCCAUUGCCAGUUAAUUAGGGAGAAAUGUCCGGCUAAUAAUUGGAACCUUCCUUUUGGUAUUUUGAAGUGAAGAUGUCUGCUCAAAUCUUUCAGUUUUCGAUUUAUAUACGACUAUGAAAAGCAGUUUUGUACUUAUCACCAGAACAAGACUCUGGAUUCAGAAAAAUCGUUUUAUCCAACUCACAAAAUCAUUGAUAUAAAAAUAACCUUUCGUUAUACAUAUCAGAAUAGGGCCACGUGGCUAUAAUUACCUAAAAAUGAAAAUCACUGUUUGAUAUGGCAGAUGAAUAUAUUUAGAUUACUGUUUCACAUACCAGAACAGAGAUAUAGGUACCAAAAACUGCAACUUUGUAUUAAUCAUCAGUAGGUACACAACUAUACAAUUAUGGACGUAUACCUUUUCAUAAGGACCAUUACGAUAGGGCUAUUUUUGCAAACGUCACAACCAAAGAAUGUAUACUGGUAAGGAAAAACUUCAUGAAAAGUUUACUUCUUCUAAUUUUGACCUUAUACCUGAAGACCUGCACUUGAGAGCUAAUACCAAACCACAAUUUCACUAACGAUUUUUUUUGUGCCAAGUUUUAGGACGCACUAUAUCUUGACCUUUUGUCUUAUUCUUGACGCAAUAUCCAUCUUUAUGCCCAAAAUUUCUAAGAGAAUACUAAACCUCUAUUCUUGUAAGUACUACUAGUAACGAAAAAACACCAAAACUGACACCUCCUGGGACUAAGAUUAAAAGAAAAAAAAAACUCCCAACUGAAACAAUUUGUAGCCAAAGAUCUCCAUCGAACAGACAGUUUUUAUACAGAAAUCACACUCUAGAUAAAAAGAAAAAGACUUCAAUAGCAGAAAACUGACGAACAAGUAAUCUCAAGAGAUGAGAGCAUAAACUAACCAUUCAGGUAAAAAGUUUCCACUCUCUGGGCAAAAUCAACUCUGGCUCCCCACACGGACAAACUUUGUAAACAAAUGAACACCAUUCGCUGUGAAAAAGUUUCACCCACAAACAAAAAAAAGAAAAAAAAAAAAAACACUGAAAAGACUUCCUGAUCAAGACAAAAAAAUGAUAUACAUAGUUGGUAAAAAACUUGCAAACCAACAUAUCUUCAAGCCAAAAAAUCACUACCUAAUAAUUUCCAAUCGGAACAAAAACAUCCUUUGAAUCAUCAACAGAUUUUUUUCACACAAAAAACACCUAA
Long non-coding RNA from Macrobrachium nipponense, 8177 nucleotides. RefSeq lists it as uncharacterized. The record is from RefSeq and is a predicted model, not a curated record. The transcript is spliced from 7 exons. NCBI's taxonomy places the organism in Eukaryota, Metazoa, Arthropoda, Malacostraca, Decapoda, Palaemonidae.